This 1426-nucleotide long non-coding RNA is filed under the name Salmo salar (Atlantic salmon). RNAcentral describes it as "lncRNA (ENSSSAG00000092902.1)". Lineage: Eukaryota; Metazoa; Chordata; Actinopteri; Salmoniformes; Salmonidae. The record is from RNAcentral.
AGCAAAUGGGUAGAAGCGUUCCCAACCUACUUGGUGGACAUGAUUAUGGUAACUAAAAUAUUAGGUCAAGAUAUUAUCCCUAGAGUUGGUUUACUAGGAUCUCUUUAAAUGAUGGAUGACAUUUUAGCUAAUCAGGUUGAACAAAUAGAAUGCCAGAGUUAGAGAUACCAGAACAGGUAGAUAUAGAAGUUGAAGAAAUACUAGCAGAGCACAUGAGAAGACUGUUUGUUAACCAAACCCGUAUGUCCAAGUUUUUGUGUCCAACAGGUGAAUUACAGGAGAAGGUGAUUCACUCAAUCCAACCAGGAGACUGGGUGUGGAUCCAUUCCCUGAGGAGAAAAGACUGGAAGCAGCCCCGUUGGGAAGACCCAUACCAGGUUCUGUUAAACCACUGUCUUUGUCAUUAGAAAAGCUGAGAGAGUCACUUGGGUCCACGUUACCCACUGCAAGAAGGUAUGUACACAUAUGAGCACUGCUGAUCACACACGGAGUUAGGAGAAGAACCGAGUACCAACAGGGUCCGGGGGUCACCUCCUUAACGAAGAUUCCCUAUACCGACUGUUCAUCACUGUGGGUGCUCCUAGAGGUGUGAGUAUGGGGUGGUACCUAGCAGAGAGACUAAGGGCAGGAGAGGGUUGGCAGUUUUUGGGAAGCGUAGGGACUCUGAGCUGCAUCAUAGUUUUGGUAACCUUUCUGAUACAUUCAGAUGCACCACCUUCCGGUACUAAUCAUACAAUACCGUUGUCAUUGAGAAGAAGUAAACUAUAUAAUACACUGAUGAGUGACAUACAGAAUAAGGAAUCAAAGAAGAUCAAGAUGUAGAAUUUAAGAGAUUCAUGAAUGAAACCGGGGAUGCAGGAAAGGGGUUCCCUGACCAAUUAUCCGCCACCUCCCUCAUGACCUGGUAAAAUAGACUGACUCUCGAUAUGUUAUUGGCAGAAGAGGGCGGUGUAGGUAGAAUGAUUAGGUUCAUUGCUGCACGUACAUUCCUGAUAACACAGCCCAUGUUUGGGAAAUGGAAAAGUGUUGUAAGAACUGUAUUAUGGGCUGCUUUCACCUGUAUGAGUGUGUUUGUGUUGUGUGGUUGUUGUUUGGUCCCGUGUGCGAGAGGUCUCAUUUCCAGGGUUCUGGAGAGAUCGAUAACGGAGCAGAUGGGGAGAUACGGACCGAUUCCAAGUUCAGAUCAAUGGGACGACAAAAACUUACCGCCGAGCCUGGUGGAGGAUUCAUUCAAUUAUGAGGAGCCCAUGUUAGAGGAGACCAUCUUUAGAGUUUAGGAAGACUGUUUCUUUAAGUAAAGGUCAUAACAAAAAUCCUGACCCGAAGUGUUAUGAUUGGAGAUAGGCUUAGAACAGUCAUCGAUAAGUAUGUGUUGACAGUAUAUGCAUUUGUUUUCCUUGAUAUUCUGAAUUACUUUGAUUUCGUG